RNAcentral lists this ribosomal RNA (255 nucleotides) under uncultured bacterium. Its description in RNAcentral is "partial 16S ribosomal RNA". It matches the Rfam family "Bacterial small subunit ribosomal RNA", at positions 524 to 776 of the family's 1533-position model. The record is from RNAcentral.
UACGAAGGGGGCUAGCGUUGUUCGGAAUCACUGGGCGUAAAGGGCGCGUAGGCGGCUUUAUAAGUCGGGGGUGAAAGCCUGUGGCUCAACCACAGAAUUGCCCUUCGAUACUGUAGAGCUUGAGACCCGGAAGAGGUAAGUGGAACUGCGAGUGUAGAGGUGAAAUUCGUAGAUAUUCGCAAGAACACCAGUGGCGAAGGCGGCUUACUGGUCCGGUUCUGACGCUGAGGCGCGAAAGCGUGGGGAGCAAACAGG